UACGAAAGGGGCUAGCGUUGUUCGGAAUUACUGGGCGUAAAGCGCGCGUAGGCGGAUUUGCAAGUCAGGGGUGAAAUCCCGGGGCUCAACCUCGGAACUGCCUUUGAUACUGCAAGUCUAGAGGCCGGAAGAGGUGGGUGGAAUUCCUAGUGUAGAGGUGAAAUUCGUAGAUAUUAGGAAGAACACCGGUGGCGAAGGCGGCCCACUGGUCCGGUACUGACGCUGAGGUGCGAAAGCGUGGGGAGCAAACAGG
This 253-nucleotide ribosomal RNA is filed under the name uncultured bacterium. RNAcentral's name for it is "partial 16S ribosomal RNA". It matches the Rfam family "Bacterial small subunit ribosomal RNA", at positions 524 to 776 of the family's 1533-position model. The record is from RNAcentral.